GACGAACGCUGGCGGCGUGCUUAACACAUGCAAGUCGAACGGGAUCCGGGCUUUCGGGUUUGGUGAGAGUGGCGAACGGGUGAGUAACACGUGAGUAACCUGCCCCCUUCUUUGGGAUAACGUCGGGAAAUCGGCGCUAAUACUGGAUAUUCUUGCUGCAUCGCAUGGUGUGGUUUGGAAAGGGUUUCUGGUGGGGGAUGGGCUCGCGGCCUAUCAGCUUGUUGGUGGGGUGAUGGCCUACCAAGGCUUUGACGGGUAGCCGGCCUGAGAGGGUGUCCGGCGACACUGGGACUGAGACACGGCCCAGACGCGUACGGGAGGUAGCAGUGGGGAAGAUUGCAGAAUGGGCGUAAGCCUGAUGCAGCGACGCCGCGAGAGGGAUGACGGCCUUCGGGUUGUAAACCCCUUUCAGUAUGGAACAAGGAUCCUUCGUUUGGGGGGUUUGAGGGUACGUGCAGAAGAAGCGCCGGCUAACUACGUG
Molecule: ribosomal RNA, 481 nt
Filed under: uncultured bacterium
Lineage: Bacteria
Description: partial 16S ribosomal RNA
Rfam family: Bacterial small subunit ribosomal RNA
Source: RNAcentral